CUGUCUGAGGAGGGGGAGGGAUGAAGCUGUCUGUCAGCGAGGAGCUCCGUGGAAACCGACUCUCAUUGAUCAGAGCCGUGAUCCUGUCAUCCUCAGGUGUUCCUGUCGUAGUAACCAUGGAGACGUUUCGAUAAAGCUCUUGGUUCUGGACAUUCCUCUGGGCAAAGGCAUGGUGCUCUUCUCUGGGGCUGAGGGGGGCACCAGACCCUGACGCUCAAACAGGGACUGUCAGCAGUCAUGGACUUGGAUCGGAGUGUCAGCGAGGUGCUGGGGGCUCGUUUCGGAGGGGGUGGAGCUAUAAGGUUGGAUUCUGAUUUUCUGGAAACAGACACGACUUUCAUCAGCAGACGACUUCCUCCCUGACGGAUCAGAGCGACGACCUGCCGGUGACCCACCUUCACCACGUCUGUACCGUUCACCUGGACAGCACACGCACACGCACACACACACGCACAUGCACACGCACACACACAAUCACAAGAGAUUACAGCAAAGUUUUAAUUAUGUUUUAACAAACAGAAAUCUAAUGAUGCCACAGGUGUGAGGACAGGUGUUACCUCUAUGAGAAAGUCUCCAGUCCGUAGCCCCGCCCUCCAAGCCACACCCCCCUGGUCGACUGACUCCAGGUACUGAAGAGCGGGAAACGCCGGGGUGGGGGCAAACUCCUCAAUGGGCGUCUCAGCUUGAAACAGAGAGAGAGAGAAGACGUGUUUUAUUUCAGUAUUUUUUUCUUAUUGGUGAUCAAUGAUCGAAGGUUCUGUGUCAAACCUGCCGUGAUAUAAUUCUUUUUAAGACGUUUCACAGUUUUUAAUCUUCAGUCUUCGAAGCUCCUUGGAUGAAUUUGAUUGUUUGUUCUUUUUGAAAUGACGUUGUGUAACUGAGGCUU
Long non-coding RNA from Toxotes jaculatrix (banded archerfish), 886 nucleotides. RefSeq lists it as uncharacterized. The record is from RefSeq and is a predicted model, not a curated record. The transcript has 4 exons. Lineage: Eukaryota; Metazoa; Chordata; Actinopteri; Toxotidae.